GGGGCAUUGGCGAAGUUGGGAUCGCGCAUGACUGGCAGUCAUGAGGCCAGGGGUUCGAAUCCCCUAUGCUCCA
This 73-nucleotide transfer RNA is filed under the name Eubacteriales bacterium. RNAcentral's name for it is "tRNA-Ala". It matches the Rfam family "tRNA". From Rfam's summary of the family: Transfer RNA (tRNA) molecules are approximately 80 nucleotides in length. Their secondary structure includes four short double-helical elements and three loops (D, anti-codon, and T loops). Further hydrogen bonds mediate the characteristic L-shaped molecular structure. tRNAs have two regions of fundamental functional importance: the anti-codon, which is responsible for specific mRNA codon recognition, and the 3' end, to which the tRNAs corresponding amino acid is attached (by aminoacyl-tRNA synthetases). tRNAs cope with the degeneracy of the genetic code in two manners: having more than one tRNA (with a specific anti-codon) for a particular amino acid; and 'wobble' base-pairing, i.e. permitting non-standard base-pairing at the 3rd anti-codon position. Lineage: Bacteria; Bacillati; Bacillota; Clostridia; Eubacteriales. The record is from RNAcentral. RNAcentral also lists the same sequence under 1 other name.